CGGGAAUAUUGGACAAUGGGGGCAACCCUGAUCCAGCAAUACCGCGUGUGUGAAGAAGGCCUGCGGGUUGUAAAGCACUUUUAGUGGGGAAGAUAAUGACGUUACCCACAGAAAAAGCACCGGCUAACUCCGUGCCAGCAGCCGCGGUAAUACGGAGGGUGCAAGCGUUAAUCGGAAUUACUGGGCGUAAAGCGUGCGUAGGCGGCUCUUUAAGUCGGAUGUGAAAUCCCCGGGCUCACCCUGGGAACUGCAUCCGAUACUGGGGAGCUAGAAUGUGGGAGAGGGAAGUGGAAUUUCCGGUGUAGCGGUGAAAUGCAUAGAGAUCGGAAGGAACAUCAGUGGCGAAGGCGACUACCUGGACCAGCACUGACACUGAGGCACGAAAGCGUGGGGAGCAAAC
This 400-nucleotide ribosomal RNA is filed under the name uncultured bacterium. Its description in RNAcentral is "bacterial SSU rRNA". It matches the Rfam family "Bacterial small subunit ribosomal RNA", at positions 356 to 773 of the family's 1533-position model. The record is from RNAcentral.